Molecule: ribosomal RNA, 626 nt
Filed under: uncultured Russulaceae
Lineage: Eukaryota; Fungi; Basidiomycota; Agaricomycetes; Russulales; Russulaceae
Description: LSU rRNA
Rfam family: Eukaryotic large subunit ribosomal RNA
Source: RNAcentral
UAAGCGGAGGAAAAGAAACUAACAAGGAUUCCCCUAGUAACUGCGAGUGAAGCGGGAAAAGCUCAAAUUUAAAAUCUGUCAGUCUUUGGCUGUCCGAGUUGUAAUCUAGAGAAGUGUUAUCCGCGCUGGACCGUGUACAAGUCUCCUGGAAUGGAGCGUCAUAGAGGGUGAGAAUCCCGUCUUUGACACGGACUGCCAGGGCUUUUGUGAUGCGCUCUCAAAGAGUCGAGUUGUUUGGGAAUGCAGCUCAAAAUGGGUGGUAAAUUCCAUCUAAAGCUAAAUAUUGGCGAGAGACCGAUAGCGAACAAGUACCGUGAGGGAAAGAUGAAAAGAACUUUGGAAAGAGAGUUAAACAGUACGUGAAAUUGCUGAAAGGGAAACGCUUGAAGUCAGUCGCGUCAUUCAGGGAUCAACCUUGCUUUUGCUUGGUGUACUUUCUGGUUGACGGGUCAGCAUCAAUUUUGACCAUUGGAAAAAGAUUAAGGGAAUGUGGCAUACAUAGUGAUGUGUUAUAGCCCUUGGUUGCAUACAAUGGUUGGGAUUGAGGAACUCAGCACGCCGCAAGGCCGGGUUUUUUAUUAACCACGUACGUGCUUAGGAUGUUGGCAUAAUGGCUUUAAUCGACC